AUACGGAGGGUGCAAGCGUUACUCGGAAUCACUGGGCGUAAAGCGCGCGCAGGCGGCCAUUUAAGUUGGAUGUGAAAGCCUACGGCUCAACCGUAGAACUGCAUCCAAAACUAUUUGGCUAGAGUGUGGGAGAGGAAGAUGGAAUUAGUUGUGUAGGGGUAAAAUCCGUAGAGAUAACUAGGAAUACCAAAAGCGAAGACAAUCUUCUGGAACAUUACUGACGCUGAGGCGCGAAAGCGUGGGGAGCAAACAGGAUUAGAAACCCGAGUAGUCC
Molecule: ribosomal RNA, 274 nt
Filed under: uncultured bacterium
Lineage: Bacteria
Description: partial 16S ribosomal RNA
Rfam family: Bacterial small subunit ribosomal RNA
Source: RNAcentral